Molecule: transfer RNA, 88 nt
Filed under: Oscillospiraceae bacterium
Lineage: Bacteria; Bacillati; Bacillota; Clostridia; Eubacteriales; Oscillospiraceae
Description: tRNA-Ser
Rfam family: tRNA
About the family: Transfer RNA (tRNA) molecules are approximately 80 nucleotides in length. Their secondary structure includes four short double-helical elements and three loops (D, anti-codon, and T loops). Further hydrogen bonds mediate the characteristic L-shaped molecular structure. tRNAs have two regions of fundamental functional importance: the anti-codon, which is responsible for specific mRNA codon recognition, and the 3' end, to which the tRNAs corresponding amino acid is attached (by aminoacyl-tRNA synthetases). tRNAs cope with the degeneracy of the genetic code in two manners: having more than one tRNA (with a specific anti-codon) for a particular amino acid; and 'wobble' base-pairing, i.e. permitting non-standard base-pairing at the 3rd anti-codon position.
Source: RNAcentral
GGAGAGAUGGCCGAGCGGUCGAAGGCACCGGUCUUGAAAACCGGCAAAGGGCAACCUUUCGUGGGUUCGAUCCCCACUCUCUCCGCCA